UACGAAGGGGGCGAGCGUUGUUCGGAUUUACUGGGCGUAAAGGGCGCGCAGGCGGCUUUGUUUGUCAGGCGUGAAAUCCCGAGGCUCAACCUCGGGCCUGCAGCCGAUACGGGCAGACUAGAGUUCGGCAGGGGAGACUGGAAUUCCUGGUGUAGCGGUGAAAUGCGCAGAUAUCAGGAGGAACACCGGUGGCGAAGGCGGGUCUCUGGGCCGAUACUGACACUGAGGAGCGAAAGCGUGGGGAGCGAACAGG
Molecule: ribosomal RNA, 253 nt
Filed under: uncultured bacterium
Lineage: Bacteria
Description: partial 16S ribosomal RNA
Rfam family: Bacterial small subunit ribosomal RNA
Source: RNAcentral